This 253-nucleotide ribosomal RNA is filed under the name uncultured bacterium. RNAcentral describes it as "partial 16S ribosomal RNA". It matches the Rfam family "Bacterial small subunit ribosomal RNA", at positions 524 to 776 of the family's 1533-position model. The record is from RNAcentral.
UACGGAGGGUGCAAGCGUUGUCCGGAUUUAUUGGGUUUAAAGGGUGCGUAGGCGGCUUGUUAAGUCCGGGGUGAAAGCCCACAGCUCAACUGUGGAACUGCCCUGGAUACUGGCGAGCUUGAGUCCAGACGAGGUUGGCGGAAUGGAAGCUGUAGCGGUGAAAUGCAUAGAUAGCUUCCAGAACCCCGAUUGCGUAGGCAGCUGACUAGGCUGGUACUGACACUGAGGCACGAAAGCGUGGGGAGCGAACAGG